Molecule: ribosomal RNA, 322 nt
Filed under: uncultured eukaryote
Lineage: Eukaryota
Description: partial 18S ribosomal RNA
Rfam family: Eukaryotic small subunit ribosomal RNA
Source: RNAcentral
CCCUUAGAUGUUCUGGGCCGCACGCGUGCUACACUGAGUGGAUCAGCGGGUCAGGUUGCGCGAAAGCGUUUCCUAAUCUUUAAAUCCGCUCGUGAUGGGGAUUGACGGUUGCAAUUUUCUGUCAUGAACGAGGAAUACCUUGUAAGCGCGGGUCAUCAUCCCGCGCUGAAUACGUCCCUGCCCUUUGUACACACCGCCCGUCGCUCCCACCGAUUGAGUGGUCCGGUGAAGCCUCGGGAUUGUGGUUCUUGCCGCUUUAUUGUGGCGUGACCGCGAGAACUUGUCUAAACCUUAUCAUCUAGAGGAAGGUGAAGUCGUAACA